AGAUUGCAGGCUGCAACUCGCCUGCAUGAAGUCGGAAUUGCUAGUAAUCGUAGGUCAGCAUACUACGGUGAAUACGUUCCCGGGCCUUGUACACACCGCCCGUCACACCAUGAGAGUUGGGAAUACCCGAAGCCUGUGAGCUAACUUUUUAGAGGCAGCAGUCGAAGGUAGAAUCAAUGAUUGGGGUGAAGUCGUAACAAGGUAAC
Molecule: ribosomal RNA, 206 nt
Filed under: uncultured bacterium
Lineage: Bacteria
Description: partial 16S ribosomal RNA
Rfam family: Bacterial small subunit ribosomal RNA
Source: RNAcentral